GUCCGCUCCGUGGCCGCGCGCCCUGACCGCUGGGCUGCGCGCCGGAACGCGGAGCAGGGAAGCAGGAAGCGGCGGGCGCGGGGCGGCGGGGAUGGCGGGGCCCGGCUGGGGCCCCCCGCGGCUGGACGGCUUCAUCCUCACCGAGCGCUUGGGCAGCGGCACGUACGCCACAGUGUACAAGGCCUACGCCAAGAAGGACACUCGUGAGGUGGUAGCCAUAAAGUGCGUAGCCAAGAAGAGUCUGAACAAGGCAUCUGUGGAGAACCUCCUGACAGAGAUUGAGAUCCUCAAGGGCAUUCGACACCCCCACAUCGUACAGCUGAAAGACUUCCAGUGGGACAGCGACAACAUCUAUCUCAUCAUGGAGUUCUGCGCAGGGGGUGACCUGUCUCGCUUCAUCCAUACCCGCAGGAUUCUGCCUGAGAAGGUGGCCCGUGUCUUCAUGCAGCAGUUGGCUAGUGCCCUGCAGUUCCUGCAUGAACGGAGUAUCUCUCACCUGGAUCUGAAGCCACAGAACAUUCUGCUGAGCUCCUUGGAGAAGCCCCACCUUAAACUGGCAGACUUUGGUUUCGCACAGCACAUGUCUCCCUGGGACGAGAAGCAUGUGCUCCGUGGCUCCCCGCUCUACAUGGCCCCCGAGAUGGUGUGUCAGCGGCAGUACGACGCCCGUGUGGACCUCUGGUCCGUGGGGGUCAUCCUGUACGAAGCCCUCUUCGGGCAGCCCCCCUUUGCCUCCAGGUCAUUCACAGAGCUGGAGGAGAAGAUCCGGAGCAACCGGGUUAUCGAGCUCCCCCUGCGGCCGCCGCUCUCCCGAGACUGCAGGGACCUGCUGCAGCGGCUCCUGGAGCGGGACCCCAGCCGUCGCAUCUCCUUCGAGGACUUCUUCGCCCACCCCUGGGUGGACCUGGAGCACAUGCCCAGUGGGGAGAGCCUGGCCCGAGCAACCGCCCUGGUGGUGCAGGCUGUGAAGAAGGACCAGGACGGGGAUGCUGCGGCCGCUUUAUCUCUCUACUGCCAAGCCCUGGACUUCUUCGUGCCUGCCCUGCACUGUGAGUGCCCGGAGCCCCUGGGUGUAGCAGGGGUGGGGCGGCCUCAGCUGCGGUGGAUGGAUUCCAGAAGCAGCUCCCCACCCAGAAUUUUGUGGGAGACAAAGCAGAGGAUGAAGUGGAUGCCCAGCGGAAGGAGGCAAUUAAGGCAAAGAGAUGGCUCGAGACAAACCUCGCCUCCUUGCUGCCCUGGAAGUGGCUUCGGCUGCCACAGCCAAGGAGGAGGAAGCCGGCGGGGAGCAAGAUGCCCUGGGCCUGUACCAGCACGGCCUGGGGGAGCUGCUGGUGCUGCUGGCAGCGGAGCCCCCAGGCCGGAGGCGGGAGCUGCUUCACACCGAGGUUCAGAACCUUAUGGCUCGAGCUGAAUACCUGAAGGAGCAGGUCAAGAUGAGGGAGUCUCGCUGGGCCGCUGAGACCCUGGACAAAGAAGGACUGUCGGAGUCUGUUCGUAGCUCGUGCACCCUGCAGUGACCCCGGAGGGAUGACUGGACAGACCACAGCCACCCCUAAUUGGGGAUACACUCCCCUAGACUGAUGUCCAGAAUCCUGUGGCCCUGUGCAGUGCUACGGAGCAGGCAUCCUGGAUGGGCAACUCUGAGGACCCCCCCACAUCCCAGCAUCUCUAGCCCCCCCUCAGGAUCCUCUGCACUUCCCAGACGGUCUGAUGGCCCAUGUCGGUGUUGGAAGCACUGGGCCUUGGCCCCUGAGGGAAAGGAGCAGGACUCUGGGAGAAGAGUUUCCUUCGUGUGACUUUGGUUAUGUGGUGGUUGUUGGAUCUUGAGCCUGUCAGUUUGGGGGCAGGAGGCCUCUGGGUUUGCUCUGAGAACAGGGCAGGGGGCCCUCUGCAGGGCACUUCUGCUCUUGCCCCUUCCCUGUCAGCAGGCAGCUAUGCCCUGUGCCCACCCCUGUCCUUCCUGGGAACCCUUCCUGCAACUCCCCUCCCCCCUUGCACUGGAAUGGGGCACGUCAAGACCCCUCAGGGACCACCCACCCCACGGUGUGCACCCAGCCCCACAGAGCUUACCCGUUUUCCUGGGAGCUGACCCUCACCCACCCUCUGAAUAUUUUAAGAUAAUCCUUCAGACAUGAAAAUAAUGUACUUUGCAGGGGUGGGGCAAAUUUAAGAAAGCCAUGCCUUGUUCCUGCUCUGGCCCAGGGGGCACAAGGGGAGUGGUCUUCAGCCUUCAUCCUUCGCCCCUACUUGCCACAGAGCUGGUCCUGGCCUGGAGCGGGGAGGCAUGGGGGCUGCCGGACCUAUCAGGCUGAGGAGGAGCCAGCAAACCAGGAGACCUGGUUCUGGGUCUGACGUUGCAGCUCCCCCCGUGUGUGACCCUGGGCAAGUCCCUUCCCCUUUCUGGGCCUGAUCUCCCCAGCUCUCCAAUGGGGCUGUUAAUACCUCCUCAGCUCCCCACAUGGGCUUUUAAGAGGACAAAGUGACUUUAAUCUGGAGAAGAAUGUACACACAGUGGAGUUAUUUGGGGGUUCUUUUUAAAAAGUCCACAAGGGUGCUGGUGAUCUCUAACCUUUGUGCCCUUUAGUGCCUCCUUGGGACAAGAGGUGUCUUCCUUGCAGGAGGCUAGGUGUAAAGAAUGUAAUUCAUUGUUUAUUAAAUUAUUUUCUGAA
This is an RNA transcript of Mirounga angustirostris (Northern elephant seal), 2669 nucleotides long. It is a transcript of the gene named unc-51 like kinase 3, with no coding region annotated. NCBI's taxonomy places the organism in Eukaryota, Metazoa, Chordata, Mammalia, Carnivora, Phocidae. The record is from RefSeq and is a predicted model, not a curated record. The transcript is spliced from 15 exons.